CACUGUCACCACCAUAACCACCAUCACCAUCAGCACCAUCGCCAGUACUUCCACUGCUGCCACCAUCACCACAACCGCCACUGCCACCACCGUCUAUCAUUAUAAACACACACUUGUGUAACCCAUAUCAUGUGUCUUUUCAGACCAUCAUUGGAACUAUAAAAUUAGGUAAGAUUUUCAGCAAUUAAGCUUGGUGUUUUUCUAUGCGUUGCAUAAUCCAGGAGUUUGAAAGGUCAUGGAAGAAAAGUGGCAACUCAGAACUGUCUUAGGGACUGGAUUUGGGCUAAACCUCUCUGUCUCCCUCUUCAAUUUGUCUUUUUGUUUUCUUUCAAAUUUCUUUCUGUGCUACUCUGCUUCUUUAAACUCAAAAGAGAACCAGACUACAAAAUGACCCACUCCGUGCCCUUCAGGUCCCAGAAAGGAGCUGGGUGUUACUUCAGCACUUCCUUUGACCCCUUUACCAUGCACCCUGCUCAGGUGUACCCCUUUGGAGUGCACAGGUGUGGCUAGGAUUUCCAAAGUUGGAGAGAUUCUCCUGCCAAACUCUGCUCAGCAACCGGCAGGGGGAAGUUAGAAGGACCAAAGCAGAGUGGCCCAAUUACCCAGUGACUGAGAAUGAUGUUGUAGGAUCACUGCAGUGGGCAGAUCUCACUUCAUGAAUUCACUGGUCUGCUCUGAUUUGGGCGUGAGGCUCCAGGGCUCUGGGAGUAGCGUCCAGAGUGGGCUUUCUUUAGAGAUGAUUCCCAUUGCCCACUGAGCUGCGGAGACUGAGUUUCUGUUGCAGUCUCUGGCUUAUGUGGGAGAGAUGGCAUCUUGGGCCAUUGCCCAUGGCCUAUGUAGUUUUAGCAACACUUUGCAAGGCCUCCAGGAGUUUGUGUCUUUAAACACUCCUGCUGGCUGAGGUAAUGGUGGAGAGCGGAGAGAUUCUGGCCCAAAGCUAAAGCCCGAGGGCUUUACCCCCCCAACCCGCCCAAAUAUUAACAAAACAGGGAUGUUAUUAAAUUACCAAUCCUGGCUCCAAUUGAAUAUUUGCCAAGAAUUCCAUGCUUCCACCUCACAUAAUACACUUUACUUUUCUUUUGGGGAUUUGUUUUCUGAAUCAGUUUACUUCUUUGUGGUCCAAUAAUCACCAAAUAGAAUUCUCUCCAUCUUUCAUCCUUCAUCAUUAGGGGAAAAAUACAGUAUCAUUUUCCGCCAAGAAAUAAAUAUCUCAAAAUGAAAGACAAUAUUUAGUGACCAAAAAAAAAAAAUCCCUCGAGUGUCCUACUUUUCUGAUGAAUCAGAACUGGAAGUGAUUAAAGGCUCAGUGCGUUCAAACAAUGAGCACUCAUGUCCAUUCCUCCAUUUUCAUAAGAAAAUCAAACAUCCUCUUUUAAGCAAGUGGGGGGCUGCUUACCAAAUCUUUUAAGUGAGCUGUAGAUAAGUGCAUUGGCAUGGUUUGAGGAAAUGCAUAGAGGAUAUUAAAAAUAUUUAUUUUAUUGAACUAAUAUUCCCUGCUGGAGAUUAAAGUAGCAAAUUGAGCCCACAACUGUAAGACAGAUACUAUUUAGCAAUUUAGUUUCUAUUUAUUUAGUUCCUAACUGUCAACUUGAACUUGAGUAGUUUUAAAUUGCAACUUACUAAAUGCUUAUAAGAAUGUUCCUUGAAUAUAAAGUGGAGUUGUCUCAGAUUGUAUUUUCAGAUAAAAAUAUACUUAGUCUGAUUUUGUUUGAAUUAGUGGAUUUUUUUGUACAUUGAGAAUUUGAAUUUCCUGAGAAUCUUUAGAUUGACUACAGUUUUGGUAUGUUGAAGGGAAUUGUGAUUUUAAAAUCAUUUAUUUUGAUCAUGCUAGUUUGAAAGUUUCUUAUGCCAUUUUAUAAUGUAUUUCAUAAGAAGACUUUUUAAAGGCAUUAUUUAGAAAUCAGGGCUAGCUGUUUUCAUUUUAGGCUGCUACCGCUUAGCUAUUUGAAUCAGAGAAUACUGUUUAGGCUUGACUGCAGUCAGUUUAAUCAUCAGUAUCUUCUUCAUGGAUUUACACUGUAGGACUUAAUUUUUAUUUUAUAUUUACAAAGGAAGGGAUAUCUGGAAUGCAGACAUAUUACAUUGAGAUAGUCAUGUUUUGCUCAGGAGGCAGAUAAAGCUACAAUAGUUGAGUUUCAAUGAGUAGUUACUGUGUUCCAGGCAAUAGAGUAAAGAAUUGUGUGUCCAUUAUUUCGUGUGGAGACAGUCACUAUUUUGCAGUAACUAUAAUUAUCAUCAUUUUACAGGUGUGGAAACUGACAACUCAAAGGUGAUACCUAACUUUUCUUCAGGCCCCAAGCUGGCAGGUGGCAGAACUGGGGUGCUUCUGAGAUGUCAGCUUUGUGGGAAUUCCACACAUGGAAGAUUGCCAGGAGCAGAAGCAUGUGACUCGAUGUCUUUUCCUGGAGUGGACACAUCCUGUAACCACCUCCCUAGGACAAGAAAGAGGAUACGGCCAACUUUCCCCGCUGCCCCGUGAAAUGCCCUCACAGACACACCCAGAAAUAAUGUUUUACCA
Molecule: non-coding RNA, 2518 nt
Organism: Equus caballus (horse)
Lineage: Eukaryota; Metazoa; Chordata; Mammalia; Perissodactyla; Equidae
Source: RefSeq, a predicted model, not a curated record